UCUCUCUCUCUCUCUCUCUCUCACACACACACACACACACACACACACAAUUGCACGCAUGAAUGCAACCAACUGCACAUGGAAGAGGGUUGUACGGGUUCUAAAUGAAAUGUAUGCUUAGAUAAACCAAGAAAAAUAAAACUGUAGCCUUGCAGGUCCCUUGUUUCUUUGUCUGCCUUAAUAUCAGGGUUGUAGUCCCCUUCUGUCCUGCCAAUUUUUUUAGAGGAAAAAAGGAAACUGGAGUUAUUGGGUGUACCUUGGAAAAAAUAUAGUUAACGAGAAUUGUUAAAUUAUUAACCACCAACUCAUCUAAAGGUUCAAGCUAUUGGAUAGAAAGGUAGUUUUGGCUUUUAUAUUAUUAUACUUGGUCUCAACACACUCCCGCUCAUGUCUAGAUUUCAUUGCAUAAUUUAGCCAAACAUAUGCAAGUAUUUAUGAAUUGAGAUAGAUGUGACCUUUCUUGGCUAGUAGAUAAAUGUGAGGUUUUAACAUAUAACCUUUACCUGCUUUAAUGGUAUGCUGAAUUGUUGAUUGCCAACAUUAUAAAACCUAAAUUAUUAGAUGUCACAACCCCAAGGAUAUAAUAGUAAUUGUAUUUAUUUUAAUUGUACUUUGCUGCUGUAGUAGUUUGUACCUUUCAGUUGUAUUGUAACUGGAAGGAUAGAAAAGCCUAUAAAUAGGCUAAAUCAAUUAGAGAAUAGUUAUUAUUGAGUAAUAAUAGAUUAUUUUCCCCUCAAAUUCUCUCUCUCUCUGUUCUCUUUGAAUUCUCCCUCCCUUUCUAUUCUCUCCCCCCUGAUUUCUUCCAAAUUCCAUAACAAACCCUAGGCUAAGUCCAGAUACCUAACAUUUGGUAUCAGAGCCGGUUGAUUCUUGGUUGUGAUUCUUGCAAUUCUUAGCAGCUGUUCAAGGUUCGAAUUUUGAAGGCUAAGCUGAUCAAGAUCCAGGCGAACACUGGAAGGCCGUUUCAGUGACAAAAUUCAGGUGAAUUUUUCAUUCAGGCUUUAAAGGCGUGCAAAGCAUGACCAAUCAAUUCUCGGCUGCUACAUUUCGAUUCAUGCGAUAUUUCGAAGAAUUUGAACUGAGGAAAUGGCUGUCCAAACUUUGGAAAGAAGUGUUCAGACAUUUGACUGAAAUUUUAUGAAAAAUUUCACUAACCUCAACCAAAAGCUAGACAAAAUCAUGAUUUUGAUAUCACAGAAGUUUCAGAUUAGUCUACUAGUGGAAUUUCUUUCAAGUUCCAUUGUAGGACCGAUCUGAAUAGGCACUUGAAUCCUACCUAAUGCUUGCAAUUUGCAGGAAGCUGAUGAAUUAGCAUUGGAUCAGGCAAUUCCGAUUGAAGGAUCAUCCAUCUGUGUGGAUACUGGUGCUGGGGUCCUUCCUCAGAUUUUUGACUUACAGGAAACUGAGAAUAAUCGAAAUUGGAACAAAACAUUGAUUCAUUCAAUAUGCCGGUUAUGAAUCAAGUUGGAGAUGAGAGUUGUGAUGAAGAGAUCUUUCAUGCAUCUGAUGAGGUCUAUGCCUGUAACAUCUAUCCUAGGUUGGAUCAAGUUUUUGAUGCUCCACAUGCGGUCUAAGGAGUUCUGAUUGAGCAAUUCAGACUGGAGCAAUCUUAUAUUGGCUGUAAGGAAACUGAUCAUAAGGCUGUAAGGUCAUAAGACUAGGAAUGUUGGACCUUUGGAAUCCAAAAAAUCAUUACAAGAGGUUUAAAUCUAAAUAUGGAGGUCAUGUUUCAGCCAAUUAGGAAUUUGCGGGACAUUCUCGUCUCUCCUUCUACAAUCAAAAUGCCAAGAAAGGAAUAGCAGUUGCAAGAAAAGUCAUUGCGACACCAUUGGAGGAGAAAUUUGUUGAAAACAAACCUUUGGUGCACACUAGUAAGCAAGAAGCAACAGAUGCUUUUAAAGCACUGUUGGAGUCCGUAAAUGUUGAGUCCAAUUGGACAUGGGAGCAGACAGUGCAAGUAAUCAUCAAUGACAAGAGGUAUGGUGCUUUAAGAACUUCUGGUGAGCAUAAACAGGCAUUCCCAGAGAAAGAAGCUGGGGACUGAAGAAAGGCAUAAUGACUGCAUGAAGAUCAAAGAAAUUACUGGAAUUUCUAUUAGGAGGAAAGCAACUAGAUUUUUUAGGAGAACUCAGAAUACCAAUCAUUUGGAAAAGGUAAAUGAGAAAGGGGAAAAGGAGAAAAAGUCAAGAAGGAAAAAGAAAAGAGAAAAGAACAAGCUAAGGCGAAGGAUGAUCCAAAUAGUGAAAAAAGGAAUUGGAUGAAGAAACAUGACCAGUUGCUGUAAUUUUUUGAGGACAAGAAUGUAAUGAAAUACUGGGGCACAAAAUACUGAGAUCAUGAGAAGGAGAAGAAGAAGACUCUCGGUAAUUUCACUAAUCCAGAGAAAAAUGAAAACAUAGCAUAACAAACAAGAGGUGCAGCUAUAUAUAUACAUAGCGUAGCACCCUUAGUAAUAAACAGUGCCUAGGCGCCUAACUAACAAAUAACCAUAAGAACGGAAACACAAUGAAUGAUAAAACUUAAGUACAACAAGACAAUCAAGAACAACAAUACAAAAUACUUAUGCUUCCACAAAGAAAUCUCUCAAGGAGGGGGGAUUGUCACAACCCCAAGGAUAUAAUAGUAAUUGUAUAUUAGAUGUAUUUCUUUUGAUUGUACUUUGCUGUUGUAGUAGUUUGUACCCUUCAAUUGCAUUGUAACUGAAAGGAUAGAAAGGCCUAUAAAUAGGCUAAAUCAGUUUAGGUAUUGUUAUAAUAACAGAUUCUUUCCCUCUCUCUCUCUCUCUCUGAAUUCUCCCUCUCUUUCUAUUCUCUCUCCCCCGAUUUCUUCCAAAUUCCAUAACUAACCCUAGGCUAUAGCAAAUCAACAACAUAUCAAGUCUUAAUCCCACUAGGUAUGGUUGGCUGCAUAGUUUCUAGGUCACCAACCAUCUCUAUUUAUGGCCACAUCUUUUAUAAGAUAUCAAGUUUUAAUUCUGUUAGUGGAGUUAGCUGCACAGUCUCUAGGUUUCCAAUCAUCUCUAUUGUUGUCCAUAUCUUUUAUAAGACUGUUAUAACACAAAUCAUACCUAACAGUUUAUAGGGAAGUUUUUCUUGGUCUUUUUCUAUCUUCUUUCUUAAAAGUUUGUGCCAUUCCAUUAACUCUUUUCACGGGAGCAUCCUCAAUAAUCUCUCCAUCUUUUUGGAUAAUUCAUCCAUGGUAUUUGAAGUGAUAUUUUCUUUGAAUGACUUGAUCUUCAAGUUUCUUUUUUUGAAAACAACAUUCAUGUUUCACCAUAGCAUUAUCUACACUUAUUCUUUUAACUCAAUUUACAUUUCAUAUAUUCGAUUUCAAUCAACUUGAUUUAAAUCCUUUUGAUUCCAGAGUGUCCCUCCAUAUCUUAUGGUUUGCUCCAUUUCUUUUGGGUGAAUACAUCUAUAGAACAUAUAAUUUCUAUCCUUUCCAAAAUUACUAAGCUGUCUUUAACAUAUUAUUUGUUCCUUCACUUCAGCAAAUAUAUGUAUACAUAUAUAAAAAAUUUGUUUUGCCACAUUCAUUGAAUAGCUUUGAAGAUAUAUUUUUCCCAUCUCUCUUUGAUUACUCGAUUUACUGAUACAUUUUUAGUCUUCGCUUGAUGCACUUGGGUCAAAUCCUUUGUUGUUCUUUUUCUUGCUUCAGCCAACUUAUACACACACACACACACAAUAUACAUAUUAUCUUUCUUCAUCUUUUGUGUCGAAUGGUUGUACAGUUUUCUAUAAACUUUUGACAUUGCUUGACUGACAGACUUCUUGGCCUCCUUUUUAGCUGAAAUAUCAUCAUUAACUGCACCUGAUCCUAACCAAGUUAGGGUCAGCCGCUCCUUUUAGCUGAAAUAUACCCUUUAAAAUUUUCCUUAUUAGGGCAUGUAUUCAAAGUCUUGUUGCAACUUUUCCUGGUCUUGAUUUCUUCUUGCAACUCAUAAGUACUUUUAAAUGAACUUAAUUUUUUUUUCUUAGACUUGCAAAGCUAGGACCACUGCAAAAAUGGCAUUCCUUAUUAUGCACGUUCUAAGAAGAAACACCAAUUAAGAAUAUCAUUUCUUGUUCAUUUACUUCAUUUUUGGAACAUGUCCUGGAAUUUGAACUUGCAAUGCCUUAUUCUUUAAAAUCAUGCAGUCACGGCCACAAUUCAAAUAGGUAUAAUCAAUGUAGCUUUAUUUUUAUCUGAAAAAUUGUGGUCAUACUAAAUUAUCUUGACUAGUUAGAAUUGUGAUUUGGGAAAUUGCUAGAAGAAGUUAUUGCUAAAAUUAUCUGGACAUAUUAUCUAGUUGUCUAACUAUUACAUCCUUCAAUCUUCUUGCAAAAUCAUCCCACUUGACCAAAUAUUAUUGGUUCACUUGUCAUGUGGUGAGUGAUUUUCUUGCUUCGAAUCACGCAUGAAAAGUUUUGGGUAAAAACAACUCCUUUUCUUUUUUCCCAUUGUCAGUGUCUUUGGUUGGGGGAAGGUUAUUUGUCUUACAUAUGUUCUUUUUUUUUUUUUUUUUCUUUUCUCCCCUUUUUAUUUUCUUUUUUUACGGGGUAGGUGGGGAGAUGACUGUAGA
Long non-coding RNA from Diospyros lotus (date-plum), 4561 nucleotides. RefSeq lists it as uncharacterized. Lineage: Eukaryota; Viridiplantae; Streptophyta; Magnoliopsida; Ericales; Ebenaceae. The transcript has 2 exons. The record is from RefSeq and is a predicted model, not a curated record.